CGUCACCUCCAGGCAGAGGAGCCCCCAUCUCUCAGUCUCUUUCCUUUGAUGCUCUUUAACCCCCCGCCCCUUUCCGUAUCACAUACCCACCUUAGUGUCAGCAGCAUCAGGCGGAUCAAGGAGCCCGGUUUCUAAAGGAAACCUGAACUCUUUUGGCUUUUGUUCUCCUUAAAUUUCUGAGCAUCUAUUUGAAAUCCCCUCCAAGUAACUUGGACGGGAAAGCUGGAUGUGCAUCCCUGAGUAGGGGGAAGGUAAGGACCACGGGAGUCACGCCUUGCCCCUUCUCCUGUCUCCUGUAAGGACACCGAGUCCUCCCCGUUUGCGAGCAGGUCUUUGAGAGUCACAGAGCAGAUGAGGGGAAGGGAGAGGAGCUGCACAGAGACAGACCCAGGCUUCUGAUUACCCACCUUCACCUGCCACUGGGAAGCUGGAGGAAGGAGUGCUUUAAACUGAUGCUACUGAGGCAUGCAUAAUAUCUGAACUUUACUGGUAAGAUGAGU
This 500-nucleotide long non-coding RNA is filed under the name Dromaius novaehollandiae (emu). RNAcentral describes it as "lncRNA (ENSDNVG00000003534.1)". The record is from RNAcentral. Lineage: Eukaryota; Metazoa; Chordata; Aves; Casuariiformes; Dromaiidae.